RNAcentral lists this ribosomal RNA (119 nucleotides) under Pteropus alecto (black flying fox). Lineage: Eukaryota; Metazoa; Chordata; Mammalia; Chiroptera; Pteropodidae. The record is from RNAcentral.
AUCUACAGCCAUGCUACCCUGAACAAGCCCGAUCCCAUCUGAUCUCAGAAGCUAAGCAGGGUCGGGCCUGGUUAGUACUUGGAUAGGAGUCCACCUAGGAAGACCAGGUGCUGUAGGUG